GGGGGAAUUUUCCGCAAUGGGCGAAAGCCUGACGGAGCAAUGCCGCGUGAAGGAUGAAGGCCUAUGGGUUGUAAACUUCUUUUCUCAGAGAAGAAUUUUUGACGGUAUCUGAGGAAUAAGCAUCGGCUAACUCUGUGCCAGCAGCCGCGGUAAGACAGAGGAUGCAAGCGUUAUCCGGAAUGAUUGGGCGUAAAGCGUCUGUAGGUGGCUUAAAAAGUCUCCUGUCAAAGAUCAGGGCUUAACCCUGGGCCGGCAGGAGAAACUCUUAGGCUAGAGUUGGUAGGGGCAGAGGGAAUUCCCGGUGGAGCGGUGAAAUGCGUAGAGAUCGGGAGGAACACCAAAGGCGAAAGCACUCUGCUGGGCCAUAACUGACACUGAGAGAACGAAAGCGAGGGGAGCAAAAGGGAUUAGAUACCCCCUGUAGU
RNAcentral lists this ribosomal RNA (425 nucleotides) under Chlorella sp. NUA-2014-2. RNAcentral describes it as "bacterial SSU rRNA". It matches the Rfam family "Bacterial small subunit ribosomal RNA", at positions 355 to 794 of the family's 1533-position model. Lineage: Eukaryota; Viridiplantae; Chlorophyta; Trebouxiophyceae; Chlorellales; Chlorellaceae. The record is from RNAcentral.